GCUUGUCUCAAAGAUUAAGCCAUGCAUGUCUAAGUAUAAACGAUUUUAUACGUGAAACUGCGAAUGGCUCAUUAUAUCAGUUAUAGUUUAUUUGAUGGUCUUACUACUUGGAUAACCGUAGUAAUUCUAGAGCUAAUACAUGCACAAAUUCCCGUCAGGGAUGUAUUUAUUAGAUUGAAACCAAUGCGGGGUAACCCGGUGUUUGGUGAUUCAUAAUAACUUUUGCGGAUCGCAUGGCCUUGAGCCGGCGACGAAUCAUUCAAAUUUCUGCCCUAUCAACUUUCGAUGGUACGGUAUUGGCCUACCAUGGUUACCACGGGUAACGGGGAAUUAGGGUUCGGUUCCGGAGAGGGGGCCUGAGAAAUGGCCACCACAUCCAAGGAAGGCAGCAGG
RNAcentral lists this ribosomal RNA (393 nucleotides) under uncultured Salpingoecidae. Its description in RNAcentral is "partial small subunit ribosomal RNA". It matches the Rfam family "Eukaryotic small subunit ribosomal RNA", at positions 30 to 432 of the family's 1831-position model. Lineage: Eukaryota; Choanoflagellata; Craspedida; Salpingoecidae. The record is from RNAcentral.